UCGUAACAAGGUUUCCGUAGGUGAACCUGCGGAAGGAUCAUUACUGAUUUGCUUAAUUGCACCACAUGUGUUUUUUAUUGAACAAAUUUCUUUGGUGGCGGGAGCAAUCCUACCGCCAGAGGUUAUAACUARACCAAACUUUUUAUUUACAGUCAAACUUGAUUUAUUAUUACAAUAGUCAAAACUUUCAACAACGGAUCUCUUGGUUCUCGCAUCGAUGAAGAACGCAGCGAAAUGCGAUACGUAAUAUGAAUUGCAGAUAUUCGUGAAUCAUCGAAUCUUUGAACGCACAUUGCGCCCUUUGGUAUUCCAAAGGGCAUGCCUGUUUGAGCGUCAUUUCUCCCUCAAACCCCCGGGUUUGGUGUUGAGCAAUACGCUAGGUUUGUUUGAAAGAAUUUACSKGGAAAMUUAWUUUAAACGAAUUAAGGUUAUYCCAAAACGCUUAUUUUGCUAGUGGCCACCACAAUUUAUUUCAUAACUUUGACCUCAAAUCAGGUAGGACUACCCGCUGAACUUAAGCAUAUCAAUAA
RNAcentral lists this unclassified non-coding RNA (530 nucleotides) under Candida tropicalis. Its description in RNAcentral is "sequence contains 18S rRNA gene, ITS1, 5.8S rRNA gene, ITS2, 28S rRNA gene". The record is from RNAcentral. Lineage: Eukaryota; Fungi; Ascomycota; Pichiomycetes; Serinales; Debaryomycetaceae.